AGAGUUUGAUCAUGGCUCAGGACGAACGCUGGCGGCGUGCCUAACACAUGCAAGUCGAACGGAGAUUUCAGCAAUGGAAUCUUAGUGGCGAACGGGUGAGUAACGCGUAGACAACCUGCCUUCUAGUUGGGGACAACACCGCGAAAGUGGUGCUAAUACCGAAUGUUGUAUUUUAGGUGCAUGCUUGAAAUACUAAAGGU
RNAcentral lists this ribosomal RNA (200 nucleotides) under uncultured bacterium. Its description in RNAcentral is "partial 16S ribosomal RNA". It matches the Rfam family "Bacterial small subunit ribosomal RNA", at positions 8 to 208 of the family's 1533-position model. The record is from RNAcentral.